CAUUGGAAACGGUGGCUAAUACCGGAUGUGCCGAGAGGUGAAAGGCUUGCUGCCUGAAAAUGAGCUCGCGUCUGAUUAGCUAGUUGGUGUGGUAAGAGCGCACCAAGGCGACGAUCAGUAGCUGGUCUGAGAGGAUGACCAGCCACACUGGGACUGAGACACGGCCCAGACUCCUACGGGAGGCAGCAGUGGGGAAUUUUCCGCAAUGGGCGAAAGCCUGACGGAGCAAUACCGCGUGAGGGAGGAAGGCUCUUGGGUCGUAAACCUCUUUUCUCAAGGAAUAAGAAAGUGAAGGUACUUGAGGAAUAAGCAUCGGCUAACUCCGUGCCAGCAGCCGCGGUAAUACGGAGGAUGCAAGCGUUAUCCGGAAUGAUUGGGCGUAAAGCGUCCGCAGGUGGCACUGUAAGUCUGCUGUUAAAGAGCAAGGCUUAACCUUGUAAAAGCAGUGGAAACUACAGAGCUAGAGUACGUUCGGGGCAGAGGGAAUUCCUGGUGUAGCGGUGAAAUGCGUAGAGAUCAGGAAGAACACCGGUGGCGAAAGCGCUCUGCUAGGCCGUAACUGACACUGAGG
Molecule: ribosomal RNA, 571 nt
Filed under: Anabaena sp. RA25
Lineage: Bacteria; Bacillati; Cyanobacteriota; Cyanophyceae; Nostocales; Nostocaceae
Description: bacterial SSU rRNA
Rfam family: Bacterial small subunit ribosomal RNA
Source: RNAcentral